This 492-nucleotide ribosomal RNA is filed under the name uncultured bacterium. RNAcentral's name for it is "partial 16S ribosomal RNA". It matches the Rfam family "Bacterial small subunit ribosomal RNA", at positions 29 to 507 of the family's 1533-position model. The record is from RNAcentral.
AGUGAACGCUGGCGGUAGGCCUAACACAUGCAAGUCGAACGGCAGCACAGUAAGAGCUUGCUCUUACGGGUGGCGAGUGGCGGACGGGUGAGGAAUACAUCGGAAUCUACUUUUUCGUGGGGGAUAACGUAGGGAAACUUACGCUAAUACCGCAUACGACCUACGGGUGAAAGCAGGGGAUCUUCGGACCUUGCGCGAUUGAAUGAGCCGAUGUCGGAUUAGCUAGUUGGCGGGGUAAAGGCCCACCAAGGCGACGAUCCGUAGCUGGUCUGAGAGGAUGAUCGGCCACACUGGAACUGAGACACGGUCCAGACUCCUACGGGAGGCAGCAGUGGGGAAUAUUGGGCAAUGGGCGCAAGCCUGAUCCAGCCAUACCGCGUGGGUGAAGAAGGCCUUCGGGUUGUAAAGCCCUUUUGUUGGGAAAGAAAAGCAGCGGGUUAAUACCCCGCUGUCCUGACGGUACCCAAAGAAUAAGCACCGGCUAACUACGUG